This 326-nucleotide long non-coding RNA is filed under the name Elaeis guineensis (African oil palm). RNAcentral describes it as "long non-coding RNA (EGUI_LNC010329)". The record is from RNAcentral. Lineage: Eukaryota; Viridiplantae; Streptophyta; Magnoliopsida; Arecales; Arecaceae.
GACCAACAGACCAUAUUCAUGGCCGACUGACCGUCUUCAUAGCCGACUCACCAUCCUCAUGUCAUGACCGACUGACCAUCUUCAUAUUAUGACCGACCGACCAUUUUCAUGGCCAACCGACCAUCUUCAUGUCAUGACUGACUGACCAUCUUCAUGUCAUGACCAAUUGAUCAUCUUCAUGGCCGACCGACCGUCUUCAUGUCAUGGUCGAGGACCAUCUUCAUGGCCGACUGAUCGUCUUCAUGGCCGACUCACCAUCUUCAUAUCAUGGCCGAUCGACCAUCUUCAUAUCAUGGCCGACCGACCAUCUUCAUGUUAUGGCCAAU